GCUGGGUGUGAUGGCUUGUGCCUGUAGUCAUGGUUACUAUGGAGGCUGAGGUGGGAGGAUUGCUUGAGCUAAGGAGUUUUGGACUGUAGGGCGCUGUGCUGGUUGGAUGCCUGUACUAAGAUUGGCAUCCAUGUGGUGACCUCCCAGGAGCGGGGAAAACCACCAGGUUGCCUAAGUAAGGGUGAACGAGCCCAGGUCAGACAUGGAACAGGUCAGAACCCCUGUGCUCAUCAGUAGUGGAAUCCUGCCUGUGAAUAGCCACUGCACUCCAGCCUGGACAACAUAGCAAGACCCUGUCUCUA
Molecule: unclassified non-coding RNA, 302 nt
Organism: Macaca fascicularis (crab-eating macaque)
Lineage: Eukaryota; Metazoa; Chordata; Mammalia; Primates; Cercopithecidae
Rfam family: Metazoan signal recognition particle RNA
About the family: The signal recognition particle (SRP) is a universally conserved ribonucleoprotein.
Source: Ensembl